UAUUUCCUCAGCGUAGAGGGGAGAGUCAGUCCUAUUCAACUUUUCCUCUGCUCACUGGGAAAGGCAACAAACGUUCUUGUUGACAAAGCUGCCACAUUGUAAAGCAGCUCUAUGGAGAAUCUCACAGAGUGAAAGAUCAAGAACCUUGUGAAUGAACUUAAAGGCAAAAUACCCCUCCCUACCACUAAAUCUAUUAAAUAAACCUGCAGCCCCAGCUGAUAGUUUGAUGUUAGACCCUGAGCCAAUGAUGACCUUAUGCUGCACCUGGAUUCCUGACCUACACAAACGAGAGAAAACAGAGACACAAAGAUAUACACAGAAAGGAGAAUGCCACCUGAGGACAAAGACAGAGAUGACAGUAACGCAAUUAUGAACCAAGAAAUCAACAUACACCCACCAGAAGUUAAGAGAGAGACAUGGGAUGUUUUCUUCCUCAGAGUCUCCAAGGAACCAACUCUGCCAACACCUUGAUUUCUGACUUCUAAUCUAGAGGACUUUGAGAUAAUAAAUUUCUGUCAUUUUAAACCA
Molecule: long non-coding RNA, 528 nt
Organism: Nyctereutes procyonoides (raccoon dog)
Lineage: Eukaryota; Metazoa; Chordata; Mammalia; Carnivora; Canidae
Exons: 3
Source: RefSeq, a predicted model, not a curated record